RNAcentral lists this ribosomal RNA (252 nucleotides) under uncultured bacterium. RNAcentral describes it as "partial 16S ribosomal RNA". It matches the Rfam family "Bacterial small subunit ribosomal RNA", at positions 524 to 776 of the family's 1533-position model. The record is from RNAcentral.
UACGGAGGGUGCAAGCGUUAAUCGGAAUUACUGGGCGUAAAGCGUGCGCAGGCGGUUUGUUAAGUCCGUUGUGAAAGCCCCGAGCUCAACUUGGGAAUUGCAGUGGAUACUGGCAGGCUGGAGUACGGUAGAGGAAGGUGGAAUUCCCGGUGUAGCAGUGAAAUGCGUAGAUAUCGGGAGGAACACCAGUGGCGAAGGCGGCCUUCUGGACCAGUACUGACGCUCAUGCACGAAGCGUGGGGAGCAAACAGG